This 71-nucleotide transfer RNA is filed under the name Ruminococcus flavefaciens. Its description in RNAcentral is "tRNA-Gly". It matches the Rfam family "tRNA". Rfam says of the family: Transfer RNA (tRNA) molecules are approximately 80 nucleotides in length. Their secondary structure includes four short double-helical elements and three loops (D, anti-codon, and T loops). RNAcentral also lists the same sequence under 8 other names. The record is from RNAcentral. Lineage: Bacteria; Bacillati; Bacillota; Clostridia; Eubacteriales; Oscillospiraceae.
GCAGGCGUAGUUCAUCGGUAGAAUACAAGCUUCCCAAGCUUGGGAGGGGGGUUCGAUUCCCCUCGCCUGCU